CCUACGGGAGGCAGCAGUGGGGAAUAUUGGGCAAUGGAGGAAACUCUGACCCAGCGACGCCGCGUGCGGGAUGAAGGCCUUCGGGUUGUAAACCGCUUUCAGUAGGGAAGAAGCGAAAGUGACGGUACCUACAAAAGAAGCACCGGCUAACUAUGUGCCAGCAGCCGCGGUAAUACAUAGGGUGCAAGCGUUGUCCGGAAUUAUUGGGCGUAAAGAGCUCGUAGGUCGUUUGUUACGUCGGAUGUGAAAACCUGAGGCUCAACCUCAGGCCUGCAUUCGAUACGGGCAAACUAGAGUUUGGUAGGGGAGACUGGAAUUCCUGGUGUAGCGGUGGAAUGCGCAGAUAUCAGGAGGAACACCAAUGGCGAAGGCAGGUCUCUGGGCCAAUACUGACACUGAGGAGCGAAAGUCUGGGGAGCGAACAGGAUUAGAUACCCUGGUAGUCCAGACCGUAAACGGUGGGCACUAGUUGUGGGAACCUUCCACGGUUUCUGCGACGCAGCUAACGCAUUAAGUGCCCCGCCUGGGGAGUACGAUCGCAAGAUUAAAACUCAAAGGAAUUGACGGCUGAGACGNGCGACGACGACGACGAGGAGAG
Molecule: ribosomal RNA, 598 nt
Filed under: uncultured bacterium
Lineage: Bacteria
Description: bacterial SSU rRNA
Rfam family: Bacterial small subunit ribosomal RNA
Source: RNAcentral